This 775-nucleotide ribosomal RNA is filed under the name uncultured Neocallimastigales. Its description in RNAcentral is "partial large subunit ribosomal RNA". It matches the Rfam family "Eukaryotic large subunit ribosomal RNA", at positions 24 to 646 of the family's 3401-position model. Lineage: Eukaryota; Fungi; Neocallimastigomycota; Neocallimastigomycetes; Neocallimastigales. The record is from RNAcentral.
UUAUCUCUGUAGAGUCUGCAUAUCAAUAAGCGGAGGAAAAGAAACUAACAAGGAUUCCCUUAGUAACGGCGAGUGAAGCGGGAAGAGCUCAAAUUUGAAAUCUUCAAGGUUUUACCUUGACGAAUUGUAGUUUAAAGAAGUGUUUUCUGUUGGAGUUUUGGUAAAAGUUCUUUGGAAUGGGACAUCAUAGAGGGUGAGAAUCCCGUAUUUGACCAUUUCUUCCAGCUGUGUGAUACACUUUCAAAGAGUCGGAUUGUUUGGGAAUGCAGUCCAAAAUGGGUGGUAAAUUUCAUCUAAAGCUAAAUAUUGGCGAGAGACCGAUAGCGAACAAGUACCGUGAGGGAAAGAUGAAAAGAACUUUGAAAAGAGAGUUAAACAGUACGUGAAAUUGUCAAAAGGGAAGCGUUUGACACCAGUGUUGUUUUCUCGAAGAUCAAUUAAAAAUGGCCGGAUUUUGUGUUGUAUUGACUUUAUCAGCUUUCUGCACUUUUUUCUUGUCUUUUUUAAUGCACUUUUCGUUUAACAAGUCAACAUCAAUUUCUUUUGUUGUAAAAGAGUCAUUGGAAGGUGGCUUUCACUUCGGUGAAAGUGUUUAUAGCCUUUGACUUCUGCAAUCGGAGAGAUUGAGGUCUGCAGCGUAGAUCCUUCGGGGUUAGAUACAUUUGUGCUAAGCUAUAGCCUUUUCAUAGACAACAUGUUGACUAUGAUCAUCAUGUAGCUUACUCGCUUAUGCUAUUUUACCUACGCUUAGGAUGUUGAUGUGAUACUGCGAGCA